GCCUUCGUGGUGUAGUGGUCAGCAAGCUCGUCGCGUAACCGAGAGGUCCGUGGUUCGAUUCCCGGCGAAGGCG
This is a non-coding RNA of Stegodyphus mimosarum, 73 nucleotides long. The record is from Rfam. Lineage: Eukaryota; Metazoa; Arthropoda; Arachnida; Araneae; Eresidae.